UAAAUAGCCCGGCCCGCUUUGGCGGGUCGCUGGCUUCUUAGAGGGACAUUCGGCUCAAGCCGACGGAAGUCUGAGGCAAUAACAGGUCUGUAAUGCCCUUAGAUGUUCUGGGCCGCACGCGCGCUACACUGACAGAGCCAACGAGUUUCUUUCCUUGUCCGAAAGGACUG
This 170-nucleotide ribosomal RNA is filed under the name Brachyconidiella sp. RNAcentral describes it as "partial small subunit ribosomal RNA". It matches the Rfam family "Eukaryotic small subunit ribosomal RNA", at positions 1352 to 1544 of the family's 1831-position model. Lineage: Eukaryota; Fungi; Ascomycota; Dothideomycetes. The record is from RNAcentral.